RNAcentral lists this ribosomal RNA (253 nucleotides) under uncultured bacterium. RNAcentral describes it as "partial 16S ribosomal RNA". It matches the Rfam family "Bacterial small subunit ribosomal RNA", at positions 524 to 776 of the family's 1533-position model. The record is from RNAcentral.
UACGUAGGUGGCGAGCGUUAUCCGGAAUUACUGGGUGUAAAGGGUGUGUAGGCGGGAUGGCAAGUCAGAUGUGAAAUGCCGCGGCUUAACUGCGGCACUGCAUCAGAAACUGCUGUUCUUGAGGAUGGGAGAGGUAAGCGGAAUUCCUGGUGUAGCGGUGAAAUGCGUAGAUAUCAGGAGGAACACCGGUGGCGAAGGCGGCUUACUGGACCAUUACUGACGCUGAUACACGAAAGCGUGGGGAGCAAACAGG